This 85-nucleotide transfer RNA is filed under the name Felis catus (domestic cat). It matches the Rfam family "tRNA". From Rfam's summary of the family: Transfer RNA (tRNA) molecules are approximately 80 nucleotides in length. Their secondary structure includes four short double-helical elements and three loops (D, anti-codon, and T loops). Further hydrogen bonds mediate the characteristic L-shaped molecular structure. tRNAs have two regions of fundamental functional importance: the anti-codon, which is responsible for specific mRNA codon recognition, and the 3' end, to which the tRNAs corresponding amino acid is attached (by aminoacyl-tRNA synthetases). tRNAs cope with the degeneracy of the genetic code in two manners: having more than one tRNA (with a specific anti-codon) for a particular amino acid; and 'wobble' base-pairing, i.e. permitting non-standard base-pairing at the 3rd anti-codon position. Lineage: Eukaryota; Metazoa; Chordata; Mammalia; Carnivora; Felidae. The record is from Rfam by way of RNAcentral.
GCCUGGGUGGCUCAAUCAGUUAAGCAUCUGACUUUGGCUCAGGUCAUGAUCUUACGGUCUGUGGGUUCGAGCCCCAUGUCAGGCU